AGCGAGUGCGCUCCGCCGCUGCGGGCGGCCGAUCACUAUUAUUAUUAUUAUUAUUAUUAUUAUUAUUAUUAUUAUUAUAAGGUUUGACUUUUUGCGCAAGAAGUUGAUGCAGAGUACAACAAUUUAAUUUAAACGUAAAAAUACACCUCUUGCAGUGCAGCGGAAAUGGGAUUAAGGGUGCCGCGGACUAUAUAUUAUUUUGACGGUUGUAGGAGUGGACAGCUGGUACUUAAAAGUGAUUUAGCCUGACAUCCUGCUAUACCCCUGCACCUCUCGACUGAUUAUUCCUGACCAAAACGUUAUGACAUGCACACACAGUAUCCGCAGACUCGAAGCCAUUAUAGAGUGGAAAUAACUCCUAUAAGUGCCGAGCCCUAAAUGUGUAACGAUCGACGGCUGUAGUACGUGGUAAUGUCCGACGCCAAUGAACGCCUUGAUUUUGACAGGGUCUGCAAAACAACCUACAUCUAGGCGUGUGGAAUCUCGAAAACGGCGUACUCGUUAAGUACUAUAUCAUUCUAUGACUUCAUACUAUGAAAACAAAAUGGCGGAGUCUGGACAGCCGUUCUUAAUGUCGAAGAAUUUAAAUAAUUGAGUACAUUUAAAUAUAAUUCUGAUUUUUAGCAAUAUUAAGAAUGAAAUCUACGAAAAUAUAAACAAUAUUUUUUCACAUUCUUGUACGAUCGGACCAUAUUAUAUUUUAUUGACAAUAAACCGAUUAA
This is a long non-coding RNA of Metopolophium dirhodum (rose-grain aphid), 722 nucleotides long. RefSeq lists it as uncharacterized. The record is from RefSeq and is a predicted model, not a curated record. Lineage: Eukaryota; Metazoa; Arthropoda; Insecta; Hemiptera; Aphididae. The transcript is spliced from 4 exons.